UACGUAGGGGGCGAGCGUUGUCCGGAAUUACUGGGCGUAAAGCGCAUGUAGGCGGGCGACUAAGUCAGGGGUGAAAACCGUGGGCUCAACCUACGGCUUGCCCUUGAUACUGGUCGUCUUGAGUACAGGAGAGGGAAGCGGAAUUCCCGGUGUAGCGGUGAAAUGCGUAGAUAUCGGGAGGAAGGCCGGUGGCGAAGGCGGCCUCCUGGGCCUGCACUGACGCUGAGGCGCGAAAGCGUGGGGAGCAAACAGG
This 253-nucleotide ribosomal RNA is filed under the name uncultured microorganism. RNAcentral's name for it is "partial 16S ribosomal RNA". It matches the Rfam family "Bacterial small subunit ribosomal RNA", at positions 524 to 776 of the family's 1533-position model. The record is from RNAcentral.